RNAcentral lists this ribosomal RNA (310 nucleotides) under uncultured bacterium. Its description in RNAcentral is "bacterial SSU rRNA". It matches the Rfam family "Bacterial small subunit ribosomal RNA", at positions 246 to 547 of the family's 1533-position model. The record is from RNAcentral.
CGGCCGCGUCGACAACGGCUCACCAAGGCGACGAUACAUAGCCGACCUGAGAGGGUGAUCGGCCACACUGGGACUGAGACACGGCCCAGACUCCUACGGGAGGCAGCAGUAGGGAAUCUUCGGCAAUGGGGGCAACCCUGACCGAGCAACGCCGCGUGAGUGAAGAAGGUUUUCGGAUCGUAAAGCUCUGUUGUAAGUCAAGAACGAGUGUGAGAGUGGAAAGUUCACACUGUGACGGUAGCUUACCAGAAAGGGACGGCUAACUACGUGCCAGCAGCCGCGGUAAUACGUAGGUCCCGAGCGUUGUCCG